GACGAACGCUGGCGGCGUGCUUAACACAUGCAAGUCGAACGGAAAGGCCUGCUUUCCCUUGUGGAUUGCGGGUACUCGAGUGGCGAACGGGUGAGUAACACGUGAGUGAUCUGCCCCCAACUUGGGUAUAAGCCUGGGAAACUGGGUCUAAUUCCCGAUAGGACUGCAGGGUGGUGCCUGUGGUGGAAAACGAUUUUCUAGUGGUUGGGGAUGAGCUCGCGGCCUAUCAGCUUGUUGGUGGGGUAAUGGCCUACCAAGGCGGCGACGGGUAGCCGGCCUGAGAGGGUGGACGGCAACAUUGGAACUGAGAUACGGCCCAGGCUCCUACGGGAGGCAGCAGUGGGGAAUAUUGCACAAUGGGCGGAAGCCUGAUGCAGCGACGCCGCGUGGGGGAUGACGGCCUUCGGGUUGUAAACUCCUUUCGACAGCGAGGAAGCCACCUGGUUGGAAGGGUGGUGACGGUAGUGGUAGAAGAAGCACCGGCUAACUACGUG
This 494-nucleotide ribosomal RNA is filed under the name uncultured bacterium. RNAcentral describes it as "partial 16S ribosomal RNA". It matches the Rfam family "Bacterial small subunit ribosomal RNA", at positions 28 to 507 of the family's 1533-position model. The record is from RNAcentral.